This is a non-coding RNA of Ictidomys tridecemlineatus (thirteen-lined ground squirrel), 454 nucleotides long. The record is from RefSeq and is a predicted model, not a curated record. NCBI's taxonomy places the organism in Eukaryota, Metazoa, Chordata, Mammalia, Rodentia, Sciuridae.
AGUGCCACCUUUCCUGAUGUCAAAAGGAUGGCUGGAGCAGAUAGCCCCCUAGGACCCCACCAGCUUUGCAGGAUCUCAGUCUCCGAGUGAUAACUUUCUAGAAUGAGUCUAAAUAUUCUCAAGGGUACUCCAAAACUCAGUGGGGCCUACCCCCGGAAAAGCCAGCACACCGUCACAGUAGGUUCUAAUUUCAGUUCUGCCACUGAUGCUGUGUGACUUUGGGGCUUGGGGCUCAGUUCCUGUUUGCCAAAUGUGGACACCUGAAUGUGGACUCCCAGCCCCCACCACAUGUCUCCCUUAUCAGUCUGGGCCACUGGUUUUCUCAGCCCCAUUUUACAGGUGGGAAGGGAGAUCUAAGUGUCUAGCCAGAGGCACCCAUGAGUACAGCGGCAGUGUCCAGUUGCUGACCUUUAAAUAGAGGGGACCGGAAGGCUGGCAGUCAGCCAAUGGGUAA